This 643-nucleotide ribosomal RNA is filed under the name uncultured bacterium. RNAcentral describes it as "bacterial SSU rRNA". It matches the Rfam family "Bacterial small subunit ribosomal RNA", at positions 232 to 885 of the family's 1533-position model. The record is from RNAcentral.
CGCGGCCUAUCAGCUUGUUGGUGGGGUAGUGGCCUACCAAGGCGACGACGGGUAGCCGGCCUGAGAGGGUGACCGGCCACACUGGGACUGAGACACGGCCCAGACUCCUACGGGAGGCAGCAGUGGGGAAUAUUGCGCAAUGGGCGAAAGCCUGACGCAGCGACGCCGCGUGAGGGAUGACGGCCUUCGGGUUGUAAACCUCUUUCAGUAGGGACGAAGCGCAAGUGACGGUACCUACAGAAGAAGCACCGGCCAACUACGUGCCAGCAGCCGCGGUAAUACGUAGGGUGCAAGCGUUGUCCGGAAUUAUUGGGCGUAAAGAGCUCGUAGGCGGUCUGUCGCGUCGGCUGUGAAGACCCGAGGCUCAACCUCGGGCCUGCAGUCGAUACGGGCAGACUGGAGUACUGCAGGGGAGACUGGAAUUCCUGGUGUAGCGGUGAAAUGCGCAGAUAUCAGGAGGAACACCGGUGGCGAAGGCGGGUCUCUGGGCAGUUACUGACGCUGAGGAGCGAAAGCGUGGGGAGCGAACAGGAUUAGAUACCCUGGCAGUCCACGCCGUAAACGUUGGGCGCUAGGUGUGGGGGCCAUUCCACGGUCUCCGUGCCGCAGCUAACGCAUUAAGCGCCCCGCCUGGGGAGUACGG